Molecule: ribosomal RNA, 507 nt
Filed under: uncultured bacterium
Lineage: Bacteria
Description: partial 16S ribosomal RNA
Rfam family: Bacterial small subunit ribosomal RNA
Source: RNAcentral
GACGAACGCUGGCGGCGUGCCUAAUACAUGCAAGUCGAACGCAUUUUCUUUCACCGUAGCUUGCUACACCGAAAGAAAAUGAGUGGCGAACGGGUGAGUAACACGUGGGUAACCUGCCCAUCAGCGGGGGAUAACACUUGGAAACAGGUGCUAAUACCGCAUAAUUCCAUUUACCGCAUGGUAGAUGGGUGAAAGGCGCUUUUGCGUCACUGAUGGAUGGACCCGCGGUGCAUUAGCUAGUUGGUGGGGUAACGGCCUACCAAGGCUGCGAUGCAUAGCCGACCUGAGAGGGUGAUCGGCCACACUGGGACUGAGACACGGCCCAGACCCCUACGGGAGGCAGCAGUAGGGAAUCUUCGGCAAUGGACGCAAGUCUGACCGAGCUACGCCGCGUGAGUGAAGAAGGUUUUCGGAUCGUAAAACUCUGUUGUUAGAGAAGAACAAGGAUGAGAGUGGAAAGUUCAUCCCUUGACGGUAUCUAACCAGAAAGCCACGGCUAACUACGUG